This 466-nucleotide ribosomal RNA is filed under the name uncultured bacterium. RNAcentral describes it as "partial 16S ribosomal RNA". It matches the Rfam family "Bacterial small subunit ribosomal RNA", at positions 29 to 507 of the family's 1533-position model. The record is from RNAcentral.
ACGAACGCUGGCGGCGUGCUUAACACAUGCAAGUCGAACGGAAAGGCCCUGCUUUUGUGGGGUGCUCGAGUGGCGAACGGGUGAGUAACACGUGAGUAACCUGCCCUUGACUUUGGGAUAACUUCAGGAAACUGGGGCUAAUACCGGAUAUGAGCUCCUGCUGCAUGGUGGGGGUUGGAAAGUUUCGGCGGUUGGGGAUGGACUCGCGGCUUAUCAGCUUGUUGGUGGGGGAGUGGCUUACCCAGGCUUUGACGGGUAGCCGGCCUGAGAGGGUGACCGGCCACAUUGGGACUGAGAUAGGGCCCAGACUCAUACGGGAGGAAGCAGUGGGAAUAUUGCACAAUGGGCGGAAGCCUGAUGCAGCAACGCCGCGUGCGGGAUGACGGCCUUCGGGUUGUAAACCGCUUUCGCCUGUGACGAAGCGUGAGUGACGGUAAUGGGUAAAGAAGCACCGGCUAACUACGUG